CCCUCCCUCUCUCUCUCUCGCCCCCCAAUUCCUGGUGGGGGCGUGGCUUGCCCCCCUUCCCGGAGCCCCUCCCCCUCUCCCUCCCCCGCCUCCUGCGCCCAGCAACGCGCAACUCGCGGCGCCUCGACAGUCCCGCUGGCGCUGCGGGGCGGGCAGGAUGGAGUGGGGUGCCGCGUAGCGCUUUCUCUCUCUCUCUCUCUGUUUCUCUCGCUCUCGCGCCAUGCCCUCCCUCGCCAGGGGCGGCCUCGGAGCCUCGUGCUUGUAGCCUUCGCCUUGGCCCUCGCCUGGCCCCAUGGUGGUUGAAGAGCAGCGCGGAGGCGGCGGAGGCGAAGAAAGAGGAGGAGGAAGGCGGAGAGGAAGAGGAAGAGGAGGCAGGCAUGGCUGCCCCGGGGGACAGCUGCAGCGUCAAGGUGGCCGUGAGGAUCCGUCCUCAGAUGCCAAAGGAGAAGAUCGAAGGAUGUCACAUCUGCACAUCAGUGACACCCGGAGAACCUCAGGUACUUCUGGGAAAGGACAAAGCUUUUACCUACGACUUUGUCUUCGAUCUGGAAACUUGGCAAGAGCAGAUCUACACAACCUGUGUGAGCAAGCUUAUCGAGGGCUGUUUCGAGGGGUACAAUGCCACAGUGUUGGCGUAUGGUCAGACAGGUGCAGGUAAGACGUAUACCAUGGGCACUGGCUUUGAUAUGAGCAUCUCUGAAGAAGAAAAUGGUAUAAUCCCACGGGCCAUUACCCACUUGUUCAAUGGGAUAGAUGAGCGCAAAAGAGCAGCACAGGAGCAAGGUGUGCCAGCACCAGAGUUCAAAGUUAGUGCACAGUUCUUGGAGUUGUAUAAUGAGGAGAUCCUGGACCUCUUUGAUAGCACACGUGACCCUGAUUCCCGCCACCGGAAGUCAAACAUCAAAAUCCAUGAAGAUGCCAAUGGUGGGAUCUAUACAACAGGUGUCACAUCACGUCUCAUUGGCUCGCAGGACGAGCUGAUUCAGUGCCUGAAGCAGGGAGCUCUGUCACGAACCACAGCCAGCACCCAGAUGAAUGUCCAGAGCUCCCGCUCCCAUGCUAUCUUCACCAUCUACCUUUGCCAAAUGCGUGUCUGCUCUCCUGUACACUUGGUGAAUGGAGACACAAACAGUCUUCUUGAGGGAUCCCAGCCUACCAGCGAGUACGAGACACGAACAGCCAAAUUUCAUUUUGUUGAUCUGGCUGGCUCAGAAAGGUUGAAGCGGACAGGUGCUACAGGCGAGAGAGCCAAAGAAGGGAUCUCCAUCAAUUGUGGUUUGUUAGCACUGGGAAAUGUCAUCAGUGCUCUUGGAGAUCAGAGCAAGAAAGCCCUGCAUGUGCCCUACCGGGAUUCAAAGUUGACACGGCUUCUCCAAGACUCACUUGGUGGAAACAGCCAAACUGUAAUGAUUGCCUGUGUGAGCCCUUCAGAUCGGGACUUUAUGGAAACUCUGAACACCCUUAAGUAUGCCAAUCGUGCUCGCAACAUUAAGAACAAAGUGGUGGUGAAUCAGGAUAAGACAAGUCAGCAGAUCAGUGCCCUGCGAGCUGAAAUUGCUCGGCUCCAAAUGGAGCUCAUGGAGUACAAGGCGGGUAAGCGUGUCAUUGGAGAGGAUGGUUCAGACGGCUACAGCGACCUGUUUCAUGAGAAUGCCAUGCUUCAGAAAGAGAACACCACUUUGCGUAUGCGGGUAAAAGCCAUGCAAGAAGCUAUUGAUGCUAUCAACAUCCGGGUUACCCACUUGAUGAGUCAGGAAGCAAACUUGAUUCUUGCCAAGGCAGGUGAUGGAAAUGAGGCUAUUGGUGCUCUGAUCCAGAAUUACAUUCGGGAAAUUGAAGAGCUCAGGACAAAACUCCUAGAGAGUGAAGCUAUGAAUGAGUCAUUGCGUCGCAAUCUGUCACGGGUUUCGUCCAGGCUUCCCUAUUCCCUGGGUUUAUCUCCAGGCCCUGGGAUGGGGGCAUCAAAUAGCCCUGUUACCUCUGUGGAAGCAGAAGUUACUGAGGUCCUCCAGUGUGCCAAGGAAGACUUAGAACGGCUCAAAAAGGAAACUAAACAGCGAAGGAAAAGUCCAGACAAAGAAGCGUUUAAAAAGAGGUUGAAGCUGCAGCAGGGAAGUGAGGUCGAUGAGGCAGAUGAAAAUGAGGUGGAAGAGGAAGAAAGAGAUGAAAGUGGUUGUGAGGAAGAGGGCGGUCAAGAGGAAGAAGAAGAAGAAGAUUCAGGAAGUGAAGAAAGUUUAGUGGAUUCUGACUCAGAUGCUGAAGAAAAGGCUGCAAAUUUCCAGGCUGAUCUAGCUGACCUAACCUGUGAGAUUGAGAUCAAACAGAAGCUAAUAGAUGAACUGGAGAACAGCCAAAGGCGCCUGCAGACAUUGAAGCACCAAUAUGAGGAGAAGUUGAUUCUGCUGCAAAACAAGAUCCGUGACACCCAAUUGGAGAGAGAUAGGGUCUUACAGAAUCUCAGUUCAAUGGAGUGUUACACAGAAGAGAAGGCCAACAAGAUCAAAGCAGACUAUGAGAAACGUCUGAGGGAAAUGAACAGGGAUCUGCAGAAGUUGCAGGCAGCCCAGAAGGAACAUGCCCGUCUCCUCAAGAACCAGUCUCGAUAUGAGCGAGAGUUAAAGAAACUGCAUGCAGAGGUUGCAGAAAUGAAAAAGGCCAAGGUGGCACUGAUGAAGCAAAUGCGUGAGGAGCAGCAGAGGCGGAGAUUGGCAGAGAGCAAGAGGAACCGGGAGAUUGCCCAGCUGAAGAAAGAGCAGCGCAGGCAAGAGUUUCAGAUCCGCGCACUAGAAUCUCAGAAGCGCCAACAGGAGAUUGUACUGCGCAGGAAAACACAAGAGGUCUCUGCUCUGCGUCGUCUGACUAAACCUAUGUCUGACCGGGUUGCUGGAAGGAUGAACCAGAAGCAAGCCAUGGUGGACUCAGGUGCUGAGGUGUCCACCAGCACCACCUCCUCAGAUCACGAAUCUGGUUCUCGUUCGGUUUCCAGUAUUGUGCGCCAGUGGAAUCGGAAAAUCAACACCUUUCUGGGAGACCCUCCUUCAUCUGUAAAUGGGUCUCGAACCAUCAGGAAGAAGUUCCCAAAGAAAGGAGCAAACCAGACCUUCAGUAAAACAGCCCGCAUGAAAUGGCAGUCACUGGAACGUCGUGUCUUUGACAUUGUCAUGCAGAGGAUGACAGUCAUUAAUCUGGAAUCUGAUAUGGAGAGACUCAUCAAGAAACGUGAAGAACUAUCACUGAUGCAGGAGAUGCUCCUUGGGAAGAGAGAGAAAAUGCAAACAGAAAGCCCUGAAGAGCUGAAGGGGCUACAGGAACUGAAUGAGGAGAUUGAAGUAUUGGCAGCCAAUAUUGACUACAUUAAUGACAGCAUUUCAGACUGCCAGGCCACCAUCAUGCAGAUUGAAGAGACCAAGGAAGAACUGGAUUCUACCGACACCUCGGUGGUGAUCAGCUCCUGCUCCCUGGCUGAGGCAAGGCUUUUGCUGGACAAUUUCCUUAAGGCAUCCAUAGACAAAAGCUUACAGGUAGCUCAGAAGGAAGCUCAAAUCCGUCUGCUGGAAGGACGCUUGAAACAAACUGAUGUAACUGGCUCCUCUCAAAACCAUCAUAUCCUGGAUGCCCUGCGGGAAAAGGCAGAAUCACACCCGGAGCUGCAAGCACUUAUCCACAAUGUACAGCAAGAAAAUGGAUAUGCCAGCACAGAUGAGGAGCUCUCUGAAUUCAGUUUGGCCUCAGAGGGGAGCUUUUCCCAGUCUUUCUCCAUGAAGGGCUCUGCCAGUCAGGAUGACUUCAAAUGCAGGGGAGAGCCCAAACUUUCUGGGCAGAUGAAGGCUGUAUCUGCAGAGUGCCUGGGCCCUACAUUGGACAUCUCCACCAAAAACAUCACCAAGUCAUUAGCAUCACUCAUGGAAAUCAAAGAGGAUGGCAUUGGGUUUUCUAUUCGUGAUCCUUACUACAAAGAGAGAGUCUCCCGUACCAUCAGCCUCCCCAUCCGGGGGAGCACAUUCCCCCGACAGUCUCGUGGUGCAGACACAUCACCCCUCACAAGAAGGAAGUCAUAUGACCGGGGUCAGCCCAUCAGAAACCCAGAUGUAGGAUACACUCCUCCCUCAUCCCCUCCUAGUAGGCCGCGCAAUGACCGCAACGUCUUCUCUCGCCUCACCAGCAACCAGAGCCUGGGUUCAGCUCUAGACAAGUCUGAUGACAGUGACUCCUCUAUCUCGGAGGUGCUGAGGGGCAUCAUUAACCCAGUGGGAGGCUCCAGGAGUGCACGGACAGCCCCACUGCAAUGCAUCUCUGUGGCAGAGGGACACACCAAGCCUGUUCUGUGCCUGGAUGCUACUGAUGAAUUGUUGUUUUCUGGAUCCAAAGAUCGAAGCUGCAAAAUGUGGAACUUGGUGACUGGCCAGGAAAUUGUCUCUUUAAAAAGCCAUCCAAACAAUGUUGUCUCCAUAAAAUACUGCAGCCAUUCUGGCCUGGUAUUCACAGUCUCUACCUCUUACAUCAAAGUGUGGGACAUUCGGGAUUCUGCAAAGUGUAUCCGCACUCUCACUUCAUCAGGCCAAGUGAUUUCUGGCGAUGCCUGUGCUGGAACUGCUACCCGCACCAUCACCAGUGUGCAAGGCGAGCACCAGAUCAACCAGAUUGCACUUAACCCCACAGGCACCACUCUUUAUGCAGCCAGUGGCAAUUCUGUCCGCAUCUGGGAGCUGAACAGAUUUCAACCCAUCGGGAAGCUGUCAGGCCAUAUUGGCCCUGUGAUGUGUCUCACAGUUAACAAGACUCCAAGCAACCAUGAUUUGGUCAUCACAGGAUCUAAAGAUCACUACGUCAAGAUGUUCGAGAUUGCAGAAGGAGUUGGUGGGAACUUUGGCCCUGCUCACAAUUUUGAGCCUCCACAUUAUGAUGGCAUUGAGUGCCUAGCUAUUCAUGGAGACAUUCUCUUUAGUGGCUCCAGAGACAAUGGGAUCAAGAAGUGGGACCUAGAACAGCAAGAGCUCAUCCAGCAAAUCCCUAAUGCACACAAAGACUGGGUUUGUGCUUUGGCCUUUGUGCCUAGCCGGCCCAUGCUGCUGAGCGCCUGCCGUGGUGGCAUAGUGAAGGUCUGGAAUGUUGAUAACUUCACACCCGUUGGGGACAUCAAGGGACAUGACAGUCCCAUCAAUGCCAUCUGCACCAAUUCCAAGCACAUAUUCACUGCUUCCAGUGACUGCCGGGUAAAGUUAUGGAAUUACGUGCCUGGGCUCACCCCCUGCCUUCCACGACGUGUCCUUGCCAUCAAGGGCCGUGCUACCAGUCUGCCUUGACCUUCCUCCUGUCUUCUCUUCUGCUUACCUUUUCUUACUCUGUUCUCUCUCCCCCAUUUCUUUCUCUACCCUACCCCUCUCUCUGCGAGCUGAUCUCAGCUACUUCCUAACGUGAUUUGACAGUGAAGCUCUGGAGUGCAAGGAAGCUACUGAAGAACCACACCUAGAAUCUGGGGGAAAAGUAGACGUGAUGGACCACAGUAGGGAUUGCAAGAAGGCAAAUGUGGUGUCCUUGCUGAACUUAGCUUUCUGGGGCUAAGAUGUAGUAUUUAGCUUUCCAUUGGAAUCUUCCAUGCUCAAAGCUUCAUGAACAGAUGGCAGCCUGGUUUUUAGGUAUUAUAUAUACCAGCAAGUGUUUUGGUUGAAUGAUGUAAGGGAAUCACUUUUCCUUUACCAUUUUCAUGUGUGAUAAGAUUUUGCAAUAUUAACAGAAGGAUAAAAUGAAACUGUAAAUUGCCAGCAAGGGAAGUAGGUGAAGCUGGGGCCUUUGAAUGUGUUUCUCAAGUCAUUGGAAUUCCUUUGCCAUAUAUAUAGUUCCCUGUCAAGAUGGGUGACGAGCUCUGCGAAUAGAUGAUUUUUUUCAGUUUGUAGGCCAGAGUUUUGCUAAAAGAUAAAAGUGAGAGAUCCCCCGCUCCCUCCCUAAUACCUUAGGGAGCUAUGUCUGCAAUCUCCUAUAUGACCAUGGAGCUGCCUGUUUCCAGCUUAGGCCUUUAUGGUUUAACAGUGACACUGACAAAAUGAAAUCUACACAUGCCAAAUGCUUGCACAGCUGAUUGGCAGAUUUUAGAGAAUAUUUCUUGUUCUAGUUUGCUUGUUCAUCCAUUAUUAUUUUUAAAUGGGGGAAGGAUGGGAAGAAGUAAUGUGAAAAAGAGUUACAUUGAUUUGAGUGCAUGUGUGCUUUCUCUCAGUUUUCCUUUCAAAAGUAUAAUGGCUCAAAAUGUUUUCAUUUUGAGAUACCUAAGUGGUUGUCAUGCUGCCUUUCUCAUGUUAAAAUUGCGCAAUUCCAUUGUUUCAAUGAGAACUAUAACAUUAGUGCAUUAUUUUUAAUGGAAUUGGGAUUUCUUUAAAUUGGAAGGUUAAUUUUGGGAUUUCAGUCUCAAACCAGAAAUUAUAAGAUAUUUUGCCCAUUGUUUUGGAUAUGCAAAAAAGAGGGUCAGUCUUCUGGAAUAUGCAUUGGAUUUUCACUGUAAACAUUUUUCUCAAGUGGCCUGGCAAAUCCAAAAUAAUUUUAGACUGCAGAUCUGUUUACUUUGUUUUCUCUCAAUCGCAAAAUACAGAAAAAAAGACUCUUUACACUGAGAGAAAAUACCUUUUUGUCUGGGAGCAGAAAGAUAUGUGUGUCAUGAUGGUGGUGAGUUUCCCCCUCAGCCUUCAAACAGGGUAAGGCACUAGAACUUUUUGACAGUGACAAUGACAAGAGUGACAACACUUUCCCUUGAAGAAAAUGAGCUUGGUUCCUUAAUCUCAUUAAUCCACCUUUUUUGUUUACACCUGUUUGAACUAUAGAGAUACUAUUUCUUCAUAUUUACAGUAUAUUCUUGUCGCCACCACAAGGAAAAUACGCAGGAGAGGUUUGAUUCUCUAUGCUUCACUCAGCUUGAAUUUCACUGGACAUUUUUCAACCUACUUGAGUUUACCAAUGGACACUUGAUGUAAGAAAGAAGCAGCCGCUUUCACCUGUUUCAAACAUUCCAGAGCUGCCCGGAUCUCAUUGGAGUGUUUAUUGGGUUCUCCUUUCCCUCACUUGGAUGGUAAUGUGUUUCAUACUUGAAGUCUCAUCACAGCUCAUGGCCAGCAGACUUGGGGAAAGCAGCAUGCUGGUAGUCAAAUGUGGACAAUCAGACUGAAGGGACCUUGCCUCCCAGAUGCUUCAGGCUCUUUGACAGCAUUUCCCCUGCCCUGGUUUGAAAGAAGCAUCUGUUCUAAUAAACUGGGCUGGCUAUGAACUUUGUCCACCUACAGGCAUUGUGAAGACCUCACUUCUAUGUGGUGAAGCUGUGGUUUCUUCCAUUGGAGUAGGAAAUUGUACUGUAAUUUUAUAUGAGUAUUCAAGAGGUUCUGCAUAUUGUCUUGUGCUUUAUUUGGGGGAGGGGGGGUAGCAGGAAGGAGGGGGUUGUGUGAGAGUGAAUGCUUUUAAGAAGGUGAGGACUUGUUUUGAGUUAACCUACCUCAUGGUCUAAGGUAUUUGGAGUUUUGUUUGUUUGUGUUUAAUGUCAAUGAAACUUGAAUUGGUCUGGGGAACGCACAUUUUCACUGGCCCUGGUUUCUGAGUUGAAGAGCUCAAACAGCAAAAUGAAGGCAUGUUGAGAACAGCUGGGCUCUCUGCUUUGUCUUCACAGCUGGCAAGCAAUGUUCAAGCCUUGCUGUAUUUUUGCCAGCUGAACCAUUUGAAUAAGCUGUUCAUAAAUGUUAAGCCUGAUAUUUAUUGAAUCAUGUUGUCUUUUUAGUCUUUUGAAUUGUCAUUCUGGACAGAGUUAGGAAAUGAUUCAGUUGUUUAAAUCAUGGAAGAGAUACCAUCUUCCAUUGGCAACAAAAUUGGCACAAUCCCCAUUCCCCUCACAUAGCUACCUAGGCUAACUUGGCUAGUAUUUAGGGAAGCUUGUAGUCACCUGUGAAUGUUUUUUUUUUUGCCUACAAAAAAUUAGGAAUAGAUUGUGAAUUAGCUACACACAUUUCACCUGAAGCCUUCCUAUAUUUUCGUAGGAAGUUUGUGUAGAACAAAGAAUAUAAAAUGUCCUAUAAAAUAAUACUUGAUAUAACUGAAUCAGAGGGCACUCUUCUCAUCUGUUAAAUUAUUGACCAUAUUGCCAUAUAGUCCCAAGUGCCUUAAUGCUAUUCUUAGCAAUUAGGGUAUGGGAUUAUAUUUCCUCAUACUGAAGAAACCCCAGCCACAUUUACUCUUAUUCUCAUACUUAUUCUCAUUUUCUCUCUCUCUCUCUCUCUCCCUCCCUCCCUCCUCCUGUUCCCAUGGAUGUGGCAGAAAGUGCAAAUCUCUAGAAACUGAAAUCAGGUGCAAUCUGGUGGAAGCAUUUUAUUGGAAUUUGUUAAGGAGAGUUUGCCCUCCUGGGGAUAGUACUUGAAGCACAUAGUGGAAAGGAUUAAAAAUAACAAAAGCCGAAAAUCUCAUCUGUUUCUAGUGGCCUAUUGAUGUUCAUCAAUGGGACACUGUAAUAAGACUCAAAGGUGGCUUUACAUAAUCUUCUUAGUUUGUCCAGCAGCACUGGGAGAUUUAAGCCAUACUAACAUGGUGUCCCAAUGGCACAACUUUUCAAUUAAGAGAGGCCUCCUGGUGAUAGAGUAAAGUACAAUUUCCCUGCAUCCCAAGAAGAGGCACUGCAGGGAAGGUCCUUAUGCACAUAAAUAACCUAAGACAUGGCUGUUUGCUCCACCAGUUGGUCUCUGUCUACACAAGACUUUGCUUCAAAAAGCAUGUGCCUUUUCUUGUCCUGAAAGGGUUGUGUUUUGGGGUUUUAGUGUGUUUUUAACAAAAAGCUGGUGCUUGUUUGGGGAUUCUGUGAGGAGCUGUAUCAUCUGGCAUAAUGGUCUUUUGUAUGUGUGCGCGCGCAUAUGUAUGAAAGGAUAAUAAGGUGUGUAAUAUUUUAUACCUCUGUGUAAAUAGUGUAAGUUAUUUAAGGUUCUGGAUGUACAUGGUUUUCCAAUGAACGUGUUUGUUUCUCCUAUUAAUAAAUAAAUUUAAGAAAAUCA
Molecule: RNA transcript, 9008 nt
Organism: Anolis carolinensis (green anole)
Lineage: Eukaryota; Metazoa; Chordata; Lepidosauria; Squamata; Anolidae
Gene: kif21b
Gene name: kinesin family member 21B
Exons: 36
Source: RefSeq, a predicted model, not a curated record